GGCCCUUUAGCUCAGUGGUAAGAGCGAGCGGAUUAUAACCGGUAGGUCGCCGGUUCAAGCCAGGAAGUGGCCAUCA
RNAcentral lists this transfer RNA (76 nucleotides) under Citrobacter freundii. RNAcentral describes it as "tRNA-Ile". It matches the Rfam family "tRNA". Rfam says of the family: Transfer RNA (tRNA) molecules are approximately 80 nucleotides in length. Their secondary structure includes four short double-helical elements and three loops (D, anti-codon, and T loops). The record is from RNAcentral. Lineage: Bacteria; Pseudomonadati; Pseudomonadota; Gammaproteobacteria; Enterobacterales; Enterobacteriaceae.